This 253-nucleotide ribosomal RNA is filed under the name uncultured bacterium. Its description in RNAcentral is "partial 16S ribosomal RNA". It matches the Rfam family "Bacterial small subunit ribosomal RNA", at positions 524 to 776 of the family's 1533-position model. The record is from RNAcentral.
UACGGGGGGGGCAAGCGUUGUUCGGAAUUACUGGGCGUAAAGGGCUCGUAGGUGGCCAACUAAGUCGGACGUGAAAUCCCUCGGCUUAACCGGGGAACUGCGUCUGAUACUGGGUGGCUUGAGUUCGGGAGAGGGAUGCGGAAUUCCAGGUGUAGCGGUGAAAUGCGUAGAUAUCUGGAGGAACACCGGUGGCGAAGGCGGCAUCCUGGACCGACACUGACACUGAGGAGCGAAAGCCAGGGGAGCAAACGGG